This 1471-nucleotide ribosomal RNA is filed under the name metagenome. RNAcentral describes it as "bacterial SSU rRNA". It matches the Rfam family "Bacterial small subunit ribosomal RNA". The record is from RNAcentral.
AGAGUUUGAUCCUGGCUCAGAGCGAACGCUAGCGGCAGGCUUAACACAUGCAAGUCGAGCGGGAUGACUUCGGUCAUCCAGCGGCGCACGGGUGAGUAACACGUAGGUAACGUACCCUUUGGUGAGGAACAACCCAGGGAAACCUGGGCUAAUGCCACCUAUGUCCUUCGGGAUGAAAGUCGAAAGACGCCAGGGGAUCGGCCUGCGGCCCAUUAUCUAAUCCUAGUUGGUAAGGUAACGGCUUACCAAGGGUACGAUGGGUAGCUGGUCUGAGAGGAUGAUCAGCCACACUGGGACUGAGACACGGCCCAGACUCCUACGGGAGGCAGCAGUGGGGAAUAUUGCGCAAUGGGCGAAAGCCUGACGCAGCCAUGCCGCGUGAGUGAUGAAGGCCCUCGGGUCGUAAAGCUCUGUCGGGAGGGACGAAGGGUGGCAACACUCUGACGGUACCUCGCAAGAAAGCACCGGCUAACUCCGUGCCAGCAGCCGCGGUAAUACGGAGGGUGCAAGCGUUGCUCGGAUUUACUGGGCGUAAAGCGACCGCAGGCGGUCGAUUAAGUUUGACGUGAAAGCCCCGGGCUCAACUCGGGAAGUGCGUCAAAAACUGGUCGACUUGAGUAUGGUAGGGGAGACCGGAAUUCCUGGUGUAGCGGUGGAAUCCGCAGAUAUCAGGAGGAACACCGAUGGCGAAGGCAGGUCUCUGGGCCAUAACUGACGCUGAGAAGCGAAAGCAUGGGGAGCGAACAGGAUUAGAUACCCUGGUAGUCCAUGCCGUAAACGUUGGGCGCUAGGUGUGGGGCUCAUUCCACGAGCUCCGUGCCGCAGCUAACGCAUUAAGCGCCCCGCCUGGGGAGUACGGCCGCAAGGCUAAAACUCAAAGGAAUUGACGGGGGCCCGCACAAGCGGCGGAGCAUGCGGAUUAAUUCGAUGCAACGCGAAGAACCUUACCAAGGCUUGACAUAUACCGGAAACAUCUGGAGACAGGUGCCCCGCAAGGUCGGUAUACAGGUGGUGCAUGGUUGUCGUCAGCUCGUGUCGUGAGAUGUUGGGUUAAGUCCCGCAACGAGCGCAACCCUCGUUCUAUGUUGCCAGCGCGUAAUGGCGGGGACUCAUAGGAGACUGCCGGGGUCAACUCGGAGGAAGGUGGGGAUGACGUCAAAUCAUCAUGCCCCUUAUGCCUUGGGCUUCACGCAUGCUACAAUGGCCGGUACAAAGGGCUGCGAUACCGCGAGGUGGAGCGAAUCCCAAAAAACCGGUCUCAGUUCGGAUUGGGGUCUACAACUCGACCCCAUGAAGUCGGAGUCGCUAGUAAUCGCAGAUCAGCAACGCUGCGGUGAAUACGUUCCCGGGCCUUGUACACACCGCCCGUCAAGUCACGAAAGUCGGUAACACCCGAAGCCGGUGGCCCAACCCUUGUGGAGGGAGCCGUCGAAGGUGGGACUGGCGAUUGGGACUAAGUCGGAACAAGGUA